This 1692-nucleotide ribosomal RNA is filed under the name Cronobacter sakazakii. Its description in RNAcentral is "partial 23S ribosomal RNA". It matches the Rfam family "Bacterial large subunit ribosomal RNA", at positions 1252 to 2925 of the family's 2925-position model. The record is from RNAcentral. Lineage: Bacteria; Pseudomonadati; Pseudomonadota; Gammaproteobacteria; Enterobacterales; Enterobacteriaceae.
GAAGGUGUGCUGUGAGGCAUGCUGGAGGUAUCAGAAGUGCGAAUGCUGACAUAAGUAACGAUAAAGCGGGUGAAAAGCCCGCUCGCCGGAAGACCAAGGGUUCCUGUCCAACGUUAAUCGGGGCAGGGUGAGUCGACCCCUAAGGCGAGGCCGAAAGGCGUAGUCGAUGGGAAACAGGUUAAUAUUCCUGUACUUGGUGUUACUGCGAAGGGGGGACGGAGAAGGCUAUGUCAGCCGGGCGACGGUCGUCCCGGUUUAAGCGUGUAGGCUGACUUUCCAGGCAAAUCCGGAAAGUUAAGGCUGAGGCGUGAUGACGAGGCACCACGGUGCUGAAGUGACAAAUGCCCUGCUUCCAGGAAAAGCCUCUAAGCAUCAGGUAACAUCAAAUCGUACCCCAAACCGACACAGGUGGUCAGGUAGAGAAUACCAAGGCGCUUGAGAGAACUCGGGUGAAGGAACUAGGCAAAAUGGUGCCGUAACUUCGGGAGAAGGCACGCUGACAUGUAGGUGAAGCCCCUGCGGGUGGAGCUGAAGUCAGUCGAAGAUACCAGCUGGCUGCAACUGUUUAUUAAAAACACAGCACUGUGCAAACACGAAAGUGGACGUAUACGGUGUGACGCCUGCCCGGUGCCGGAAGGUUAAUUGAUGGGGUUAUCGCAAGAGAAGCUCCUGAUCGAAGCCCCGGUAAACGGCGGCCGUAACUAUAACGGUCCUAAGGUAGCGAAAUUCCUUGUCGGGUAAGUUCCGACCUGCACGAAUGGCGUAAUGAUGGCCAGGCUGUCUCCACCCGAGACUCAGUGAAAUUGAACUCGCUGUGAAGAUGCAGUGUACCCGCGGCAAGACGGAAAGACCCCGUGAACCUUUACUACAGCUUGACACUGAACAUUGAGCCUUGAUGUGUAGGAUAGGUGGGAGGCUUUGAAGCGUGGACGCCAGUCUGCGUGGAGCCGACCUUGAAAUACCACCCUUUAAUGUUUGAUGUUCUAACCUGGCGCCGUGAUCCGGCGUGGGGACAGUGUCUGGUGGGUAGUUUGACUGGGGCGGUCUCCUCCCAAAGUGUAACGGAGGAGCACGAAGGUCAGCUAAUCCUGGUCGGACAUCAGGAGGUUAGUGCAAUGGCAUAAGCUGGCUUGACUGCGAGAGUGACGGCUCGAGCAGGUGCGAAAGCAGGUCAUAGUGAUCCGGUGGUUCUGUAUGGAAGGGCCAUCGCUCAACGGAUAAAAGGUACUCCGGGGAUAACAGGCUGAUACCGCCCAAGAGUUCAUAUCGACGGCGGUGUUUGGCACCUCGAUGUCGGCUCAUCACAUCCUGGGGCUGAAGUAGGUCCCAAGGGUAUGGCUGUUCGCCAUUUAAAGUGGUACGCGAGCUGGGUUUAGAACGUCGUGAGACAGUUCGGUCCCUAUCUGCCGUGGGCGCUGGAGAAUUGAGGGGGGCUGCUCCCAGUACGAGAGGACCGGAGUGGACGCAUCACUGGUGUUCGGGUUGUCAUGCCAAUGGCACUGCCCGGUAGCUAAAUGCGGAAGAGAUAAGUGCUGAAAGCAUCUAAGCACGAAACUUGCCCCGAGAUGAGUUCUCCCUGAGACUAUAAGUCUCCUGAAGGAACGUUGAAGACGACGACGUUGAUAGGCCGGGUGUGUAAGCGCAGCGAUGCGUUGAGCUAACCGGUACUAAUGAACCGUGAGGCUUAACCUU